Long non-coding RNA from Pipistrellus kuhlii (Kuhl's pipistrelle), 1367 nucleotides. RefSeq lists it as uncharacterized. The transcript is spliced from 2 exons. The record is from RefSeq and is a predicted model, not a curated record. NCBI's taxonomy places the organism in Eukaryota, Metazoa, Chordata, Mammalia, Chiroptera, Vespertilionidae.
CCGAGCACCGCCACGUAGGCUGCGGGCGGCGCCGGCCGGCCCUGCCCCGCGCCUUCCGGCCGGCGAGCCCUGCGGCCGCCCGGCCGCGCCCGCCGCCCGCCCGGCGGCCUGCCCGGCGCUUCUGAGGGGUUUUGGUUCCCGGGACGUGUCCCAUAUGUCAUGAGAUUUUGAGGGCGAUAUUGUCUUAGUGCUUAGCAAAGUACUCAACGUCAAAUAUUUGAGUGAAUAAUUUAUAUUCUAGCAGUAGGAAUGUGAUAUAGGCCAGCGGUCUUAGCACCCAUUUUAAAAAUAGUAACUUAUGGUAGUUUUGCCUAUAGGUAUUUACUAUAUUAGAAAUGAAAACUGAGACAUUUAAAAUAUUUUGCAUAGAAGAACACAAUUGGACUUUCCUAUCCCCUUUGCCUUCAGUUUAUUGCCAUAUAUUUUGAUUGAAUUACAUGAAGAAAAAUCUGAUAAGUGGUUGGAAAGGGGAGGAGUAUUUUAAUAGGUUUUUAAGUAAUUGUGGCUAUUUUUUGUUACUACACCCAAAAGAGGUUACUGCUAGUUUCUUAAAGAUUAGUUUGGAUGUGAAAUCUGAAGUCUUACAAAUGAACUUUUCACAUGUGAUACAUUCAUUGUUCUAUCCGGCAGUUUAAAUGAGCUUGUUACCCAUUGUAACAUCUUAUGUUUAUCAUUUGGAAAAUACUGAUUCACCAAGUUAAGGCAGAUCUUCGAAAUUGCUGACACAUUUCAUUAUACAAUAUCACCGCUGAUUUCCCAUAAGUAUUGUGAAACAGUCAGGCUCAAAGUGGUGGAUACAAGUUUUCCAACAUUCUAAUUUUCAGUUGAAAUCUUGAUUUUACUAUUGGUAGACAACUAUUAUCAAUUGUUUUCCUCAAAGUGACAGGCUCAUUUUGUUCAGUUUCAAGAAAUGUCUACAAACCAUGGUUUGUCAUGUUAUUGUUUCUAGUAAAAAUGUAUCAUGAAAAAAGCAUUUAAUUUAUGUUCUAUUAACAUAUGCUUUUCCUCGAGAAAGCUGAUUUAUCUUGGUGUGCAGCAGAAGUGCUUUAUGCAUACCUCUUUUUAAAAAUCUUUUUAAAAAAUUGAUUUCAGAGAGAAGAGAGACAGAAAAGAAAACAUCCAUGUGGGGAAAAAACAUCUAUCAUUUGCCCCCAACUGGGGAUCAAACCACAACCUGAGCAUGUGCCCUGACUGAGAAUUGAACCCACCACCUUUUGGUGCUCCAACCAACUGAGCCACAAUGGCCAGGAUAUGCAUACCUUUUUUUCAAGUGACAAAAAUGAAAGUCAAGAUCAAGAUUUAUAACAUUCAUAAUUUAUACUGCUUCAUCAAGGAUGUUUUUUCUUCAUUAAAAUGUAUUAAAUAAA